RNAcentral lists this ribosomal RNA (429 nucleotides) under Gemmatimonadota bacterium. RNAcentral describes it as "Gemmatimonadetes bacterium partial 16S ribosomal RNA". It matches the Rfam family "Bacterial small subunit ribosomal RNA", at positions 355 to 776 of the family's 1533-position model. Lineage: Bacteria; Pseudomonadati; Gemmatimonadota. The record is from RNAcentral.
UAGGGAAUCUUCGGCAAUGGACGAAAGUCUGACCGAGCAACGCCGCGUGAGUGAAGAAGGUUUUCGGAUCGUAAAACUCUGUUGUUAGAGAAGAACAAGUACGUUAGUAACUGAACGUCCCCUGACGGUAUCUAACCAGAAAGCCACGGCUAACUACGUGCCAGCAGCCGCGGUAAUACGUAGGUGGCAAGCGUUGUCCGGAUUUAUUGGGCGUAAAGCGAGCGCAGGCGGUUUCUUAAGUCUGAUGUGAAAGCCCCCGGCUCAACCGGGGAGGGUCAUUGGAAACUGGGAGACUUGAGUGCAGAAGAGGAGAGUGGAAUUCCAUGUGUAGCGGUGAAAUGCGUAGAUAUAUGGAGGAACACCAGUGGCGAAGGCGGCUCUCUGGUCUGUAACUGACGAUGAGGCUCGAAAGCGUGGGGAGCAAACAGG